RNAcentral lists this ribosomal RNA (512 nucleotides) under Elateridae sp. CO1077. RNAcentral's name for it is "partial 16S ribosomal RNA". It matches the Rfam family "Bacterial large subunit ribosomal RNA", at positions 1819 to 2600 of the family's 2925-position model. Lineage: Eukaryota; Metazoa; Arthropoda; Insecta; Coleoptera; Elateridae. The record is from RNAcentral.
GUCCUCUUGAGUAUUAUUUGAGGUCUGAUCUGCUCAAUGAGAAGUUAAAUUGCCGCGGUAUUUUGACCGUGCGAAGGUAGCAUAAUAAUUAGUUUUUUUAUUGGAAGCUGGAAUGAAUGAUUGGACGAGGGAGCAGCUGUCUACUGUUGGAUUUUUUUUUGAAUUUAACUUUUGAGUUAAAAGGCUCAGAUGAUUUUAAAAGACGAGAAGACCCUAUAGAGUUUAACAUUUUUUUUAUUUGAUAGGUUUUUGGUAUUUAUCAUUUUCAUUUUUAUUGGUGUUUGGUUGGGGUGACUGGAAGAUUUAAUAAACUCUUCUAAUUUAUUGUUACUUAUUAGUAAGUUCUUAAUCUGGAUUUUUCAAGAUUAAUGAAAAUUACCUUAGGGAUAACAGCGUAAUUUCUUUUUAGAGUUCUUAUUGGAAGAGAAGUUUGCGACCUCGAUGUUGGAUUAAAAUUUAUUUUUGGCGCAGUAGCUGAAUUAUUAGGUCUGUUCGACCUUUAAAAUUUUACA